Molecule: long non-coding RNA, 992 nt
Filed under: Heterocephalus glaber (naked mole-rat)
Lineage: Eukaryota; Metazoa; Chordata; Mammalia; Rodentia; Bathyergidae
Description: lncRNA (ENSHGLG00100048964.1)
Source: RNAcentral
CCGCCAGGAGGCGACGCAGCGUGAGGCCAGCGGCGGCCGCCAGAGGCGGGGACCCCAGGCGGGCUCCCCAGGACGACCUUACCUGGGCCUGACCGCCACCCCACCGCGAGGGCGGGGAGUCCGGAAUCUCGGGCCUGAGCAAGUGAAAGUCCCAGAUGGCUCCGGGUCGAAUCUUCACUCCUAAGUACCUGCACCUCCUUUCUGAAUCCUCGUUCUCCGUUUUGCCUUCUUCCUUCCCAAUCCUAAAUCUGGACCGAUCAGAGGAGAUAAUCUUGGAAGGAAAGUCGUUUCUUCAUAAAUAGCACCUUUCUGCGCGUCUGGGGCGAGUCACUAGAGUCAGAUUAUUCAUGGCUUGCAACUAUUCUUCUGCUUUGUUUGAGGAACUCUAGGAAUCUGUCCCAAAAGUUCCAGGACUUGCUAAGUGGCCAUCCGGGAGCCCACGAGUGGCACCAGCUUCCUUGACAAGAAAUGACCCUCUUCGAAAACUAAAAAAAAGAAGGAAAAAAAUCUCCUGCUGUGAACUAAGAGCUUUGCCCCACCACACCUUUCUGCUAUGAUGUUCCCGCCUUGGAGCCUGUGGAUCAUGGACUGAGACCUUUGAAAUGCCCUGGAAAUCACAGAUCUGUUUUUUGCAACCAUAGAUUUAUUUGCCUCUAUGAGAAUUUCAUGUAAGUGGAAACAUACAUUUAAUAUCUGGAUUCUUUCACUGAGUACAAUGAUUUCGAGAUUCAUCCAUGCAUCAUAACUUUGUUUCCUUUCAUUGCUGACUGCUCUUCCUCAUUGUAUGGCUAGACCACAGUUUAUUUACUUAUUUACCAGUUGAUAACUAGUUCUUUCUAGUUCUUAGUUAUUCUAAAUAAUACUUUAAUUAAUAUCCUAAAUUCAUCUUUGAGCGGGCAUGUACUUUUAUUUCUCUGUAGUAUAUACUUAGGAAUGGACUUCAUGGGUUUCUGUACAUUUCUAUAGUAUUAAAAAUAAAAACAUAGGCCGGG